Molecule: long non-coding RNA, 1601 nt
Organism: Cyprinus carpio carpio
Lineage: Eukaryota; Metazoa; Chordata; Actinopteri; Cypriniformes; Cyprinidae
Source: Ensembl
GCCUCUGAUUAGAAUCUGGGAAUUGUAAAUUGUGGCUAAUUAGGCUGUCAUGGGUUCAUUAAGGGCUUCAGUGCCUCCCCUUUUCCUCACCUGCAUGUAUGUUAAAACUCAUUAGCCUCCUUGUCUGAGAUUCCACUUGCAUUAAUUGCCGCUGAUGCCCCAGCUCUCGUGUCCCAUGAUACUCUUCUCUGCAGAGUUAGAAGCACAAAACUUAUCUGAGUGUAUAUCCUUGUUAUAUUCCACUUAGAGUUUCCAGUCAGAGUUUGGCUGGUUAGCAGCUGUGGAAAUUAUUCACAUGGCAUUAACGGCGUAGGUGGUUGUCUCAAAACAACCUGCCAGCAAAACUGAACACCCAUGAGCAAAGAUGGUGGAUUUCAAUUGGGUGAUACUGCGCCAGCCAAGCAACUGCCACUGAGAUGAAAUGUGAAUGCUAACUGAUAGCUUUCAUCAGCAUCAGUGUGGUUUGACAAGGAUGAAAUGCUUGUCUGUCCUGUCAGGAUUUGAGCUAAACUUAAUGAUCCAAGGCAAACAUCUAAUCCACUGUGCUGCGGAGUGGUACAUGUGACAAAUGCACCCGGUGGAGAAGACGAGCAGUGCCACAACUCAUGCCACACGUCUGAUCCCUGCCCAUGUCUCUCCAACACUAAUGGCAUUACACUGCCUCCUCCUUUAGUGGCGUUCAUCCUUUGCCAUUUAUCUUUGCAUGAUGCACGAUGUACGUUAGUUGGCCUAUUAAUACUAAAUGCCAGCUUGUCACGCACAUCAGGGAGAAAAGUUGACUCUCAAACUUUAAAUAAGAAGUAUUUUUCUUCUUUUCUUUAUAUAUAUAGGAAGGAAGAGGAAGACAUUUUUGAACUACUGGGAAAAAAAUAAUACUCGGAGUACCCAGAACGUUAUCAGAUAUCAGGAGGCUGGUACUACUGCUUCUCAAAAGUAUCCAGGUUGUUUUUAUCCAAUCGCCUGAGCCAUAAAUUUGACAAAAUAUGACAUUAUAGCAAUGCGAAUUGGCUCAUGGCACCCCAAGAAUGUUUCAAGACCUUUUUAAAAGUUAAAAAAAAAAUGAUUCUUUGCUAAAUAUUUGCUCUAUACUUAUUGCAUCAUAUUACAAUUUGUGUGUGUGUAUAUAAUUAUAUAAAAAAAGUCUCUAAAGAAAAAUGUCAUGUAUUGCUGAUUGUCAGACACAUUUGAUGAAUGAAAACAGAGCUCUGUUGCACUUGUAGUUUCAAGUGUUUUAUUAUUUUUCUUUCGCUUCCUUUCCCUUUCUGUCUGGUUAACCCUACAAUAUGUGUUCAGAUGUGAUUUAAUAAGUGGAGAGGUCCCACGGGCGGCCUCGCAUUGAGUUUUCCUGUGGGUCCUUUCUGUGUGUAUGACUCUGCAGUGGCAGGGGGGCUCCCUGGCCCAGAUUAAUUACCCCCCUCUAAUUGGUUUAGUGUCUCACAGCUGGGCCAUGCAGACAGCACACUGAAACAUCCAGUUAAAUGAUGCCCAUCCGUCAUCGCUGGCUAUUAGAGCUGGGAACUGGGACCCAAGUGGUCUGUUUUCCAUAUAUUAGUAAACAUUGCAGCUGAGACUUUUCUGUAAGAAUUAAUAAGACAAUGCCA